AGCUGAACCAAAAACCACAACUGAUUCAUCAUCUACAGCUGAACCAACAACCACAACUGAUUCAUCAUCUACAGCUGAACCAACAACCACAACUAUUUUAACAUCUACAACAGAACAAUCAACUAAAUCAGGACAAAGCACCACAACACAGACGGCAACAACAUCCCUACCUACAACAAGUACAGCUCAAUCUACAACUGAGGUUACAACAAACUCACCUACAACUGCAACUCUGCUUACAACUCCAGGCCCUCCAACAGAAACAACAACAACACAACUUACAUCUACAACUGAACUAACAACCACAACUGCUUCAACAUCUACAACUGAACAAUCAACUACAUCUGAACAAAGCACCCCAAUGCAGACAACAACAUCAUCCUUACCUACAACAAGUACAGCUCAAUCUACAACCCUGGUUACAACAAACUCACCUAUAACUACAUCACAGGUUACAAUUACAGCCCCUCCUACAGAAACAACAACAAAACUUACAUCUACAGCUGAACCAACAACCACAACUGAUUCAUCAUCUACAGCUGAACCAACAACCACAACUGAUUCAUCAUCUACAACAGAACAAUCAACUACAUCUGAACACAGCACCACAACGCAGACAGCAACAACAUCCCUAUCUACAACAAGUACAGCUCAAUCUACAACUGAGGUUACAACAAACUCACCUACAACUGCAACUCUGCUUACAACUCCAGGCCCUCCUACAGAAACAACAACAACACAACUUACAUCUACGGCUGAACCAAUAAUCACAACUGUUUUAACAUCUACAACAGAACAAUCAACUACAUCAGAACAAAGCACCACAACACAGAUGGCAACAAUAUCCCUACUUACAACAAGUACAGCUCAAUCUACAAGUGAGGUUACAACAAACUCACCUACAACUGCAACUCUGCUUACAACUCCAGGCCCUCCUACAGAAACAACAACAACACAACUUACAUCUACAACUGAACUAACAACCACAACUGCUUCAUCAUCUACACCUGAACCAACAACCACAACUGUUUUAACAUCUACGACAGAACAAUCAACUACAUCUGAACACAGCACCACAACGCAGACGGCAACAACAUCCCUAUCUACAACAAGUACAGCCCCAUCUACAACUGAGGUUACAACAAACUCACCUACAACUGCAACUUUGCUUACAACUCCAGGCCCUCCUACAGAAACAACAACAACACAACUUACAUCUACGGCUGAACCAAUAAUCACAACUGUUUUAACAUCUACAACAGAACAAUCAACUACAUCAGAACAAAGCACCACAACACAGAUGGCAACAAUAUCCCUACUUACAACAAGUACAGCUGAAUCUACAACUGAGGUUACAACAAACUCACCUACAACUGCAACUCUGCUUACAACUCCAGGCCCUCCUACAGAAACAACAACAACACAACUUACAUCUACAACUGAACUAACAACCACAACUGCUUCAACAUCUACAACUGAACAAUCAGCUACAUCUGAACAAAGCACCCCAAUGCAGACAACAACAUCAUCCCUACCUACAACAAGUACAGCUCAAUCUACAACCCUGGUUACAAAAAACUCGCCUACAACUACAUCGCAGGUUACAACUUCAGCCCCUCCUACAGAAACAACAACACAACUUACAUCUUCUGCUGAACCAACAACCACAACUGUUUUAUCAUCUACAAAUGAACCAACAACCACAACUGAUUCAUCAUAUACAACUGUACUAACAACCACAACUGCUUCAACAUCUACAACUGAACAAUCAACUACAUCUGAACACAGCACCACAACGCAGGCGGCAACAACAUCCCUAUCUACAACAAGUACAGCUCAAUCUACAACUGAGAUUACAACAAACUCACCUACAACUGCAACUCUUCUUUCAACUCCAGGCCCUCCAACAGAGACAACGCAACUUACAUCUACUUCUGAACCAACAACCACAACUGCUUCAACAUCUAAAACUGAACAGUCAACUACAUCUGAACAAAGCACAACAACAGAGACAGCAACAACAUCACCACCACCUACCACAAGUUCAGCACAAUCGACAACUGAGGUUACAACAAACUCACCUACAACUGCAACUCUUCUUACAACUCCAGGCCCUCCAGCAGAGACAAUGCAACUUACAUCUACUGCUGAACCAAAAACCACAACUGCUUCAACAUCUAAAACUGAACAGUCAACUACAUCUGAACAAAGCACCCCAAUGCAGACAACAACAUCAUCCCUACCUACAACAAGUACAGCUCAAUCUACAACCCUGGUUACAACAAACUCACCUACAACUACACCUCGGGUUACAACUACAGCCCCUUCAACAGAAACAACAGAAACACAACUUACAUCUACGGCUGAACCAACAACCACAACUUUUUUAACAUCUACAACUGAACCAAUAACCACAACUGUUUUAAUAUCUACAACAGAACAAUCAACUACAUCAGAACAAAGCACCACAACACAGAUAGGAACAAAAUCCCAACCUACAACAAGUAUAGCUCAAUCUACAACUGAGGUUUCAACAAACUCACCAAGAACUACAUUUCAAGUUACAACUACAGGCCCUCCUAAAGAAACAACAACAACAAAACUUACAUCUAUUGCUGAACCAACAACCACAAUUGCUGCAACAUCUACAACUGAACAAUCAACAACAUCUGAACACAGCACCACAAUGCAGACAGCAACAACAUCCAUACCUACAACAAGUACAGCUCAAUCUACAACUGAGGUUACAACAAACUCACCUACAACUGCAACUCUGUUUACAACUACAGCCCCUCCUACAGAAACAACAACCACACAACUUACAUCUACAGCUGAACCAACAACCACAACUGCGUCAACAUCUACAACUGAAAAAUCAACUAUACCCGAACAAAGCACCACAACACAGACAGCAACAACAUCCCUACAUACAACAAGUACAGCUCAAUCUACAACCCUGAUUUCAACAAACUCAGCUACACCUACAUCUCGGGUUACAAUUACAGCCCCUCCUACAGAAACAACAACAACACAACUUACAUCUACAGCUGAACCAACAACCAUAACUGUUUUAACAUCUACGGCUGAACCAACAACCACAACUGUUUUAACAUCUACAACAAAACAAUCAAUUACAUCCCAACACAGCACCACAACACAGACAGCAACAACAUACCUACCUACAACAAGUACAGCUCAAUCUACAACCCUGGUUACAACAAACAUGACUGUUACAUCAAGCUCAGCUACACAAACGACACAAUUCUGCUUAAAAGUGACACAACAGCUGAUACAAUACUGCUCAGCAACAACUGAAACUCUGUCUACAACCACUGCCAAACCUACACAAAAACCUGACUCAACAAACUCACCUGCAUCUGCAACAACAGAAUCUAUGACUGUUACAGUAAACUCAGUCCCUUCCACAGAAACAACAACAACAACAACACAACUUACAUCUACGGCUGAACCAACAACUACAACCAGAGCUCAAUCAACAACAACCCCAGGCACAACCCAGACAGUUUUUGUUAGUUUUUCCAGCAGUGAAAUUUUUGUCUCUGAUCUGUCAAAUCCAGCUUCAGAAGCAUAUAAAAACAGAGAAAAGAAUGUCAACGAUACGUUGACACCAUUCUUUAGAAAUGCAUUGCCCUCCUUCAAAGGACUGGCAGUUAUUCAGUUCCGUAAUGGGUCAAUCAUCACUGAUAUGAAUGUGACAUUUGGAACCUUACCCAGUGAUGUUGAGAUAGAAAACACUAUUAUGAAAGCUAAUGCCACUCUCAGUAUCACCAGUGUAACAAUAUGGAAGCCCUUCACCACAACUACCAAAGCCACUACAACCAGUUCCACUACAAUUACAACUACAACCACACCUAACACAACAACAGCAGCAGCAACAACAACAACCACAACAUCUACUGCCAAUCCUAAUACAACAGCAUCACCAGCAACCACAACAUCUACUGUCAAUCCUAAUACAACAGCAUCACUAGCAACCACAACAUCUACUGCCAAUCCUAUUACAACACAACAACAACAACCACCACCACAACAUCUAAUGUCAAUCCGAAUACAACAGCAUCAACAGCAACCACAACAUCUACUGUCAAUCCUAAUACAACAGCAUCAACAGCAACCACAACAUCUACUGUCAAUCCUAUUACAAUAGCAACAACAACCACAACAUCUACUGUCAAUCCUAAUACAACAGCAUCAACAGCAACCACAACAUCUACUGCCAAUCCUAUUACAACAACAGCAACAGCAACAACAACAACCACAACAUCUAUUGUCAAUCCUAAUACAACAGCAUCACCAGCAACCACAACAUCUACUGCCAAUCUUAAUACAACAGCAUCAACAGCAACCACAACAUCUACUGUCAAUCCUAAUACAACAGCAUCACCAACAACCACAACAUCUACUGCCAAUCCUAAUACAACAGCAUCAACAACAACCACAACAUCUAUUGUCAAUCCUAUUACAACAGCAACAACAACAACCACAGCAUCUACUGCCAAUCCUAAUACAACAGUAUCAUCAACAACAGCAACCACAACAUCUACUGCCAAGCCUAAUACAACAGCAUCAACAGCAACCACAACAUCUACUGUCAAUCCUAAUACAACAGCACCAACAGCAACCACAACAACAACCACAACAUCUACUGCCAAACCUAAUACAACUGUAACAACAACACCCACAACCACAACAACAACAACAACAACAACAAAAACAACAACAACAACAACAACAUCUACUGCCAAUCCUAAAACAACAGCAACAACAACCACAAUAACAACAGCAGCAACCACAACAGCAGCACCAGCACGUCCUCAGCCAACUGUUGCCAUACAGAUUGUCAUUAUAGAGGUGUUUGUUCCAGCACUGAAAGACCCUCAAACUCCGGAAUUUAAAAGCCUAGCCACAAAAGUAGAGACUAUG
Molecule: long non-coding RNA, 4944 nt
Organism: Cyprinus carpio carpio
Lineage: Eukaryota; Metazoa; Chordata; Actinopteri; Cypriniformes; Cyprinidae
Source: Ensembl